RNAcentral lists this ribosomal RNA (253 nucleotides) under uncultured bacterium. RNAcentral's name for it is "partial 16S ribosomal RNA". It matches the Rfam family "Bacterial small subunit ribosomal RNA", at positions 524 to 776 of the family's 1533-position model. The record is from RNAcentral.
UACAGAGGUCCCAAGCGUUGUUCGGAUUCACUGGGCGUAAAGGGUGCGUAGGUGGCGUGGUAAGUUUGAUGUGAAAGCUCAGGGCUUAACCCUGAAAUGGCAUUGAAUACUACCAUGCUGGAGGUUUGGAGGGGGGACUGGAAUUCUCGGUGUAGCAGUGAAAUGCGUAGAUAUCGAGAGGAACACCAGUGGCGAAGGCGAGUCCCUGGACAACACCUGACACUAAGGCACGAAAGCUAGGGGAGCAAACAGG